RNAcentral lists this unclassified non-coding RNA (23 nucleotides) under Mus musculus (house mouse). Its description in RNAcentral is "oocyte_clustered_small_RNA9274". Lineage: Eukaryota; Metazoa; Chordata; Mammalia; Rodentia; Muridae. The record is from RNAcentral.
AGCAGCAGCAACAUUGGAGUACA